RNAcentral lists this unclassified non-coding RNA (334 nucleotides) under Salvia aurea. RNAcentral describes it as "Salvia lutea partial external transcribed spacer". Lineage: Eukaryota; Viridiplantae; Streptophyta; Magnoliopsida; Lamiales; Lamiaceae. The record is from RNAcentral.
AUUGCUCGRCCGGCGUUCGGUUUUCCUGUGCUGAAUACCUAUCUCGAAGGCAUUCCGUCGGCUAAAGUUGUCCCUUUCCCGCCUUGUGCUGCUGCUCCCCGUGGGCAAGUGGCGCGGGGUGGGCCAAAUUGCGCACGUCGUGUAUCGCACCGCGUUCGACCCCUCGGGGCGUUCGGGUUGUCGACCCACGACGUGAUGCUCGGUCUCUCGGAUACGGAACAUCACGUGGGUACGAGGCCAUCGGCCUCCGAGCACCACAAAACAAGCGUUCUACGCUUCGUGCGAACGACUGUCGGUCCUGAUCUUUGGCCGUGCUCUCGCAGCUCGUUCAAGU